UGGGGAAUUUUGGACAAUGGGCGCAAGCCUGAUCCAGCCAUGCCGCGUGCGGGAAGAAGGCCUUCGGGUUGUAAACCGCUUUUGUCAGGGAAGAAACGCUCUGGGCUAAUACCCCGGGGUAAUGACGGUACCUGAAGAAUAAGCACCGGCUAACUACGUGCCAGCAGCCGCGGUAAUACGUAGGGUGCAAGCGUUAAUCGGAAUUACUGGGCGUAAAGCGUGCGCAGGCGGUUAUGCAAGACAGAUGUGAAAUCCCCGGGCUCAACCUGGGGACUGCAUUUGUGACUGUAUAGCUAGAGUACGGUAGAGGGGGAUGGAAUUCCGCGUGUAGCAGUGAAAUGCGUAGAUAUGCGGAGGAACACCGAUGGCGAAGGCAAUCCCCUGGACCUGUACUGACGCUCAUGCACGAAAGCGUGGGGAGCAAACAGGAUUAGAUACCCUCGUAGUCCCUGAGCGGGCUGGCAAGGCGCAU
Molecule: ribosomal RNA, 472 nt
Filed under: uncultured bacterium
Lineage: Bacteria
Description: bacterial SSU rRNA
Rfam family: Bacterial small subunit ribosomal RNA
Source: RNAcentral